Molecule: microRNA precursor, 110 nt
Filed under: Podarcis lilfordi (Lilford's wall lizard)
Lineage: Eukaryota; Metazoa; Chordata; Lepidosauria; Squamata; Lacertidae
Source: RNAcentral
ACCUUAGAGACCAACUAAGUUUGUUCUGGGUAUAAGCUUUUAGGUAUCUGAAGAAGUGUGCAUGCACACAAAAGCUUAUACCCAGAACAAACUUAGUUGGUCUCUAAGGU